RNAcentral lists this ribosomal RNA (425 nucleotides) under uncultured soil bacterium. RNAcentral's name for it is "bacterial SSU rRNA". It matches the Rfam family "Bacterial small subunit ribosomal RNA", at positions 207 to 623 of the family's 1533-position model. The record is from RNAcentral.
CAAGACCUUGCGCUCUUGGAGCGGCUGAUGUCUGAUUAGCUAGUUGGUGAGGUAAAGGCUUACCAAGGCGACGAUCAGUAGCUGGUCUGAGAGGACGACCAGCCACACUGGGACUGAGACACGGCCCAGACUCCUACGGGAGGCAGCAGUGGGGAAUUUUGGACAAUGGGGGAAACCCUGAUCCAGCCAUGCCGCGUGAGUGAAGAAGGCCUUCGGGUUGUAAAGCUCUUUCAGCCGGAACGAAACGGUCACGGCUAAUACCUGUGACUACUGACGGUACCGGAAGAAGAAGCACCGGCUAACUACGUGCCAGCAGCCGCGGUAAUACGUAGGGUGCAAGCGUUAAUCGGAAUUACUGGGCGUAAAGCGUGCGCAGGCGGUUUUGUAAGUCAGAUGUGAAAUCCCCGGGCUUAACCUGGGAACUG